CGGUGGAGCAUGUGGUUAAUUCGAAGCAACGCGAAGAACCUUACCAGGCCUUGACAUGCAGAGAACUUUCCAGAGAUGGAUUGGUGCCUUCGGGAACUCUGACACAGGUGCUGCAUGGCUGUCGUCAGCUCGUGUCGUGAGAUGUUGGGUUAAGUCCCGUAACGAGCGCAACCCUUGUCCUUAGUUACCAGCACGUUAUGGUGGGCACUCUAAGGAGACUGCCGGUGACAAACCGGAGGAAGGUGGGGAUGACGUCAGGUCAUCAUGGCCCUUACGGCCUGGGCUACACACGUGCUACAAUGGUCGGUACAAAGGGUUGCCAAGCCGCGAGGUGGAGCUAAUCCCAUAAAACCGAUCGUAGUCCGGAUCGCAGUCUGCAACUCGACUGCGUGAAGUCGGAAUCGCUAGUAAUCGUGAAUCAGAAUGUCACGGUGAAUACGUUCCCGGGCCUU
This 452-nucleotide ribosomal RNA is filed under the name uncultured Pseudomonas sp. RNAcentral's name for it is "bacterial SSU rRNA". It matches the Rfam family "Bacterial small subunit ribosomal RNA", at positions 930 to 1382 of the family's 1533-position model. The record is from RNAcentral. Lineage: Bacteria; Pseudomonadati; Pseudomonadota; Gammaproteobacteria; Pseudomonadales; Pseudomonadaceae.